Syzygium oleosum is the source of this 712-nucleotide long non-coding RNA. RefSeq lists it as uncharacterized. The record is from RefSeq and is a predicted model, not a curated record. The transcript is spliced from 3 exons. NCBI's taxonomy places the organism in Eukaryota, Viridiplantae, Streptophyta, Magnoliopsida, Myrtales, Myrtaceae.
UCUGUACACUUUGGGAAGCAGACAAGCCCCUGCUUAUAAGGUUAAACAUUUGUCUAUCAGUAUAGAUAUCAGUUCGAAUAAACAAACAACUUCUUUGCCACUAGCCGGAAGCCAGCACUCUGUUGAAAGUCGUAGGGAUCCAAAGAGAAGCAAAGCAUCCACAAACGUUCCAGGAUUAAACAAGGGCUCAAUCUCAGCAGCAUCACACUGACUAAAAAACAAGUCUUUCUGAACUGCCAGAAGAUAAAUUUAGUCAAGGUGUGGAGAAAUCUGGGUCAAGCUAUAAUGGACUUUCCUAUCAAAAAGGCAUUUGAUUGGGUUCCUGGUGUUUCUGGGAUUGCCGGUGGCCAAUUUUGUGGACGUGCCUCAGGUUGCGGAUCUUCAUGGCCUAUUCUCAAGCGCAACUCUUCCCAACUCGUCGAUAUCGAAUGGAACACAAUUUUUCUGGGAGCGGGAAUCAAAACCAUACAAAUAUAUAGUAAGUAAGGGUGAUGAGAGGGAAAAGAGUAAAUCUGUCAGUAGCAGCUGAUCUGUGUCGAUUAUCAUAGCUCUAUUUCACUGUCUCAAGUGUUUUCUAAGAUGAGGCUUGUAGGUGCAAGUUACAAGUCUCAGAGAGCUUGAUAAAAUUGCUUAUUUGGUGAAGAUGUUUGAAUUUCCCUGUUUGGAUAAAAUCCUCCAUAACCAGCUUAAAAUUGUCCGAUUUCAGUCACAA